UACGUAGGGUGCAAGCGUUGUCCGGAAUUAUUGGGCGUAAAGAGCUUGUAGGCGGUUUGUCGCGUCUGCUGUGAAAUUUCGGGGCUCAACCCCGAACUUGCAGUGGGUACGGGCAGACUAGAGUGUGGUAGGGGAGACUGGAAUUCCUGGUGUAGCGGUGAAAUGCGCAGAUAUCAGGAGGAACACCGAUGGCGAAGGCAGGUCUCUGGGCCGGUACUGACGCUGAGACGCGAAAGCGUGGGGAGCGAACAGG
RNAcentral lists this ribosomal RNA (253 nucleotides) under uncultured bacterium. RNAcentral's name for it is "partial 16S ribosomal RNA". It matches the Rfam family "Bacterial small subunit ribosomal RNA", at positions 524 to 776 of the family's 1533-position model. The record is from RNAcentral.